AACGAACGCUGGCGGCGCGCCUAAUACAUGCAAGUCGAGCGAGAAGACGUAGCAAUACGUUUGUAAAGCGGCGAACGGGUGAGGAAUACAUGGGUAACCUACCCUCGAGUGGGGAAUAACUAGCCGAAAGGUUAGCUAAUACCGCGUACGCUCCUUGGACUUCAGUUCAGGGAGGAAAGCGAUACCGUGGGUAUCGCGCUCUUGGAUGGGCUCAUGUCCUAUCAGCUUGUUGGNGAGGUAACGGCUCACCAAGGCUUCGACGGGUAGCUGGUCUGAGAGGACGAUCAGCCACACUGGCACUGCGACACGGGCCAGACUCCUACGGGAGGCAGCAGUAAGGAAUAUUGCGCAAUGGGCGAAAGCCUGACGCAGCGACGCCGCGUGGGGGAGUGAAGGUCUUCGGAUUG
RNAcentral lists this ribosomal RNA (407 nucleotides) under uncultured bacterium. Its description in RNAcentral is "bacterial SSU rRNA". It matches the Rfam family "Bacterial small subunit ribosomal RNA", at positions 29 to 425 of the family's 1533-position model. The record is from RNAcentral.